ACGCAUUGAAUUAUCAGCAAUAGAAUUAUUAAUUCAAGCAUGUGAAAAGGCAAAGACAAUGGACAUUGAGGUACAUUUGAAUUGCCACAGGCGAAAGUUGCAAAUACUGAUGCUAGCAGCUGGUAUCGAUGAAUAUGAAACUCUUCGUCAAAAGUAUGGGUUAAAUGCACUUUCUGCCAAUGAUAUCAUCUCGAAAGAAGAUCCUGGCAAUCAUGGGUUGGACUUAGUGAUGGAG
This 235-nucleotide unclassified non-coding RNA is filed under the name Hevea brasiliensis (rubber tree). Lineage: Eukaryota; Viridiplantae; Streptophyta; Magnoliopsida; Malpighiales; Euphorbiaceae. The record is from RNAcentral.